AGUGAACGCUGGCGGCAGGCCUAACACAUGCAAGUCGAACGGCAGCACAGCAGUAGCAAUACUGUGGGUGGCGAGUGGCGGACGGGUGAGGAAUACAUCGGAAUCUGCCUAGUCGUGGGGGAUAACGUAGGGAAACUUACGCUAAUACCGCAUACGACCUACGGGUGAAAGCGGGGGAUCGCAAGACCUCGCGCGAUUAGAUGAGCCGAUGUCCGAUUAGCUAGUUGGCGGGGUAAUGGCUCACCAAGGCGACGAUCGGUAGCUGGUCUGAGAGGAUGAUCAGCCACACUGGAACUGAGACACGGUCCAGACUCCUACGGGAGGCAGCAGUGGGGAAUAUUGGACAAUGGGCGCAAGCCUGAUCCAGCCAUGCCGCGUGGGUGAAGAAGGCCUC
Molecule: ribosomal RNA, 394 nt
Filed under: uncultured bacterium
Lineage: Bacteria
Description: bacterial SSU rRNA
Rfam family: Bacterial small subunit ribosomal RNA
Source: RNAcentral